Non-coding RNA from Macaca mulatta (Rhesus monkey), 2699 nucleotides. The record is from RefSeq and is a predicted model, not a curated record. Lineage: Eukaryota; Metazoa; Chordata; Mammalia; Primates; Cercopithecidae.
AAAAAAAAAAAAAAAAAAAAAAAAAAAAAAUUAGCAUUAUUUUUGGUGCAAAAGUACUUUAACAUCUUAAAUACUCAUAUAAUGGAAGAUACUGGAAGAUACUUUUAACUCUUAGAAAGAAUGAGUUAACUCCUUAUCUUCUAUAAAGGUAUCCUAAUAUCUUUGUACCCGAAGUGGUAUCUGAGGCAAAUUGUUACAUUAAAAAAGGAAAAUGCUUUAUAAUAAAAAAGGAAACGUUACAUAGUAGCCCUUGCUUACCUGCAGGAGAUGUGUUCUAAGACCCGUAGUGGAUGUCUGAAAGUGUGGAUAGUAUUGACCCAAUUGCUGUCAAUCAGAACACACUUCUGCUUGUUUUCCAAGCACAAAUUUAAUUUUUUUUUUAAUCUUAACUAAGCACUUACCACACAUGUGGCUGUACCUUGAGCUUGGUGUUCAACGAACAAGACUAGCAGAAAUUUAUUUUUCCUCCUUACACUGUCACACCUAGAAGAUUUGUUCUUACCAUAGAUCUUAGCAACCUCAGCACACGACUUAUUUUCCUUAUUCAGUCAAGAAUUUUCACAUUUUGACUUAAAGAAAACACUUUAGGGCUCCUGUUCUGCAUAUCUAAAUUGGCAGCAUCACUACUCUUGCAUUUUAGGGCCAUCAUUAGGUAAAAAUCAGAGUCACUUAAACACAAGCACUGUGAUACUGCGGCAGUCAUUCUGAUAACCAAGUUGGCUACUCACCGACUAUGGGUAGCGCAUACAGCAUGCAUCUGCUGAACAAAGGGAUUGUUCAUAUCCCAGGCAGAACAAAGCAGGACAGUGAGAUAUCUCAUCAGGCUACUCAGAACAGCCCACAAUUUAAAGCUUAUGAACUGUUUCUUUCGGGAAUCUUGCAUUUAAUAUUUUCAGACGACAAUUUACUGUGGGUAACUGAAACUGUGGCAAGUAGAACCAUGGAUAAAGGGGGACUACUGUAUAUGCUUCUGUGUGUGUGCAAAUACAUGAAUCGUGGAGAAUAUCAUGGGAAGAUGCUCAUCAUCUUGUUAACUCGUUAUUUCAAGAGUGGAACUGGAGGGGGAAUAAUGCCUUUCCUUUAUAUUUAUUUGUAAUAUUUCAUUUUCAUUAUGAACAUGUGUUAUUUUAUUAUUUUUUAAUAAUAAAGACAGGCAAAAAACAUAUAUGUAAUUUUAAUUCAAGCCGAAAUCUUCAAGGCAAUCAUAUAUAAUUAAAUAGAUAAAGCAAAGAGAACAUUUUAAAUUCCUGAAGGGAAAGAGGAAAAGCACAAUGUAAAAACCAAGUGAGUCUAAAAGCAGCAAUGUAUCAUAAUGCCUAAAUUCGUGGGACCAAUUCCAAUCCAGUCCAAGAAAGCAGACACUGGCGACCAACAUUCCCUUUCAGGCCCCUGCAGGGUCAAGAGAGUGCUCCUGGAAUAGAUUGAGAAACUCGAGCAGGCUAAGUGAGGUGCCAGGAAUAAAGACACCGCCUGACACAUUCUCCACUCUCCCUUCACCCGCUCCUCUCCCCACCGCGCUUCCAUCAGUCUCCAACUCUGCCCUCUUCCCAAGAGCCUCAGAUUGAAACCUUGCAAGGAAGACACCGAUUCUCAGUCACAGGCUUGGUAAUCUGAGCGGCAAAGGUACAUGAUCUCGUGCUUCCCCUACUCCCCGCUACUCCCCUUGCCACUGCUGCCUAGCACCUGCCCCCUCCUCCAUAAUUUGAACUGUCCUCCCAGGACUUGGAGGCGGGUCGGCCCAAGCGCUUCUUAAUGCCCAAUAUGGAGCAAACCUCCCCUAUCUUGCACGUCCAUUGGCUAAAAGAUCUGUCUACUUAAGUGUGACUGCCACUUUCCCUUCUUUCUGUGUUGCCUGGAUACAGACUGUCUGCCUAUUAACAACUGGUCGCGUUUCCCAUUGGUCACCGUUUUCGGAAGCCCGCCCCCAAGUAUCCAGGAGCCCAGCGCACGCUGGGUCUGCAGGCGCCAUCCAGGCGCACAGCGGGAAUCGUGGCUCAGCAACUUUGGGGUGUGCGGCCGAGCGUCUGCCAAACAUGGGACGCUGGAGGGUCAGCGUCGGGGAGUCCUGGCCUUCAGUCGGCCAUCGCCACGGCAGAAACUGGGGCCCAGGCUGCGUCCAGGCCCUUCCCUGGCCGUCCACAGGUCUCAUGGGCGCCCGGACUGGGGCUGAUGUAGUUUCACGACCUCUGACCCAUAGGAUCUAGAGAUUAAAGGUAUAAAAACGGGGACUUUUCAGCCCACUCAGAGCAAAUACCCACCAGAAUGGAUAACUUGGAUGUGGAAUGUCCAGAUUUUGGAUGAAUCUCUCUAGAGGUUGAACAGGACAUGAGGCCACAGACUGCAGUGCCCGUGAACAGAGGAGCUAUGGGGAUGCAACUUUGAUACCUCCAUUCAAACACACACCCUGGUGCAUGUGCGCCUCUUCUGAUGCAGCACCCCAAUGGGUAAGCUCUGGGCUUUUCCACACAGUGGAUUAGGAGUGGAAACAUUCUGUCUGUUUCAUGCUUGAUGGUUUGGUUGUGACCUGAUGUCGUGGUGGUAAUAGAGGCAAUGAUCCCAGCAUCUUAGAACCGUUCAGCUUGGCCGGGCCCGGUGGCUCACGCCUGUAAUCCCAGCACUUUGGGAGGCUGAGGUGGGUGUAUAACCUGAGGUCAGGAGUUUGAGACUAGGCUGGCCAAUAUGGCAAAACCCCAUCUCUA